AUGGGUAUCUUGCUUGGUUACAGUGCUCAGGGGGCUUGCAAGUUUGGGUUCUACAAGUUCUUUAAGAAGACCUACUCAGAUAUGGCUGGGCCUGACAAUGCCGUGAAGUACAAGACCCUAAUUUACCUUGCAGGUUCAACUUCUGUUGAGGUAAUUUCUGAUAUCACUCUGUGCCCCUUUGAAGCUGUCAAGUAG
RNAcentral lists this ribosomal RNA (195 nucleotides) under Triticum aestivum (bread wheat). Its description in RNAcentral is "partial small subunit ribosomal RNA". The record is from RNAcentral. Lineage: Eukaryota; Viridiplantae; Streptophyta; Magnoliopsida; Poales; Poaceae.